RNAcentral lists this ribosomal RNA (459 nucleotides) under uncultured bacterium. Its description in RNAcentral is "partial 16S ribosomal RNA". It matches the Rfam family "Bacterial small subunit ribosomal RNA", at positions 338 to 795 of the family's 1533-position model. The record is from RNAcentral.
CCUACGGGUGGCAGCAGUGAGGAAUAUUGGUCAAUGGCCGGAAGGCUGAACCAGCCAAGCCGCGUGAAGGACGAAGGUGCCAAGCAUUGUAAACUUCUUUUGUCAAGGGAAAAAAUCAGGCUCGAGAGCCUGAACGAGGGUACUUGAAGAAAAAGCAUCGGAUAACUCCGUUCCAGCAUUCGAGGUAAUAAGGAGGAUGCGAGCGUUCUACGGAUUUAUUGGGGUUAAAGGGUGCGUAGGCGGGCUGUUAAGUCAGCGGUAAAAGCCCGGGGCUCAACCCCGGGGAGCCGUUGAAACUGGCUGUCUUGAGAUGUCGAGAGGUAUGCGGAAUGCGCAGUGUAGCGGUGAAAUGCUUAGAGAUUGCGCAGAACUCCGAUUGCGAAGGCAGCAUACCGGCGGCGAUCUGACGCUGAGGCACGAAAGCGUGGGUAUCGAACAGGAUUAGAUACCCUUGUAGUC